This 69-nucleotide transfer RNA is filed under the name chicken gut metagenome. It matches the Rfam family "tRNA". Rfam says of the family: Transfer RNA (tRNA) molecules are approximately 80 nucleotides in length. RNAcentral also lists the same sequence under 1 other name. The record is from RNAcentral.
CCUGUAGCUCAGCAGGAUAGAGCAACGGCCUUCUAAGCCGUGUGUCGGGGGUUCGAGUCUCUCCAGGCG